UGCCACUGCUAGUCGGUGUGCGGGGCUGAGGGCUGCCCGGGCUUCUCUGGCGCCCAAACCGGGAGCGAGAGCGGGCUACUGGGCGCGAAGACUGGAACCGGCAGGUUGCUGGGGCUGCAUUACGCCUGCCCUCCACCCGGGGCCCGGGCGCAAGAGGCAGCUCGCGCUCCCUCCCGGAGUGCUGGAGACAGAUAUGCAAGAUGGCAGAGGAGGGGGGGAAAGCCAAUAGAAAAGGGAUAUUGCACCUACUUGUGGCCAGUUUCCUUGCCCUGCCUUUGGAUCUCAUGCUGUGCCCAGUCCUGCAGCCGCUGGUCCAGGCUGGCGCGGCAUUUGACAUCCAAGACCUCCUGCCUUCCCUAAGGUGGGCUGUCACCUUCCGGCCUCCCCUCGCUGCCCCCGUCGCCUCCCUCUGCAGCUCAGCCUGCCUACCAUUUUCACUCACUCACUCAAACCUACAACCUCUGGGGUCACAAGAAGGAGGAAGAGAGGGGAAAUUCCAUACACUCCUUAAAAAAUACAUUGUUGAAAUUCGCAUUAAUUAUAGGAUUUACCACUGAAGUGGGCAUGCAAAAAUGGGGAACUCCUAAAGGGGCUAGGUAUGUUCAAGGUAUGAAUCAAUCCUAACUCCAUAGAUUUUCUCUUGGUACAACCUCCUUGCAUUAAACAGUUUUGUUCAAUACCUUCCAUGUGCUAUUUAUGUCCCCAUUAAUAUCUGUUGCAAAUCCUGCCAGACACAAUAAAAGAAAAUUACAAUCUUUUCAGUCUC
Marmota monax (woodchuck) is the source of this 766-nucleotide long non-coding RNA. RefSeq lists it as uncharacterized. The transcript has 2 exons. The record is from RefSeq and is a predicted model, not a curated record. NCBI's taxonomy places the organism in Eukaryota, Metazoa, Chordata, Mammalia, Rodentia, Sciuridae.